GAUGAACGCUGGCGGCGUGCUUAACACAUGCAAGUCGAACGGAAAGGCCAGUGCUUGCACUGGUGCUCGAGUGGCGAACGGGUGAGUAACACGUGGGUGAUCUGCCCUGCACUUCGGGAUAAGCCUGGGAAACUGGGUCUAAUACCGGAUAGGACCAUCGUGUAGUGGCGGUGGUGGAAAGUUUUUUCGGUGUGGGAUGAGCUCGCGGCCUAUCAGCUUGUUGGUGGGGUAAUGGCCUACCAAGGCGUCGACGGGUAGCCGGCCUGAGAGGGUGUACGGCCACAUUGGGACUGAGAUACGGCCCAGACUCCUACGGGAGGCAGCAGUGGGGAAUAUUGCACAAUGGGCGCAAGCCUGAUGCAGCGACGCCGCGUGGGGGAUGACGGCCUUCGGGUUGUAAACUCCUUUCGCCAGGGACGAAGCGUAAGUGACGGUACCUGGAUAAGAAGCACCGGCUAACUAC
Molecule: ribosomal RNA, 463 nt
Filed under: Corynebacterium sp. 'ARUP UnID 281'
Lineage: Bacteria; Bacillati; Actinomycetota; Actinomycetes; Mycobacteriales; Corynebacteriaceae
Description: bacterial SSU rRNA
Rfam family: Bacterial small subunit ribosomal RNA
Source: RNAcentral